This 466-nucleotide ribosomal RNA is filed under the name uncultured bacterium. RNAcentral's name for it is "partial 16S ribosomal RNA". It matches the Rfam family "Bacterial small subunit ribosomal RNA", at positions 339 to 795 of the family's 1533-position model. The record is from RNAcentral.
CUACGGGAGGCAGCAGUGGGGAAUAUUGGACAAUGGGGGAAACCCUGAUCCAGCAAUGCCGCGUGUGUGAAGAAGGCCUGCGGGUUGUAAAGCACUUUCGGUUGGGAGGACUGCUUCUAGCACUAAUAUUGUUGGAAGUUGACGUUACCUUCAGAAGAAGCACCGGCUAACUCCGUGCCAGCAGCCGCGGUGAAUACGGAGGGUGCAAGCGUUAAUCGGAAUUACUGGGCGUAAAGCGCGCGUAGGCGGCUAGAUCAGUCGGGUGUGAAAGCCCCGGGCUUAACCUGGGAACUGCAUCCGAUACCGUCUAGCUUGAGUACAGGAGAGGAGAGUGGAAUUCCACAUGUAGCGGUGAAAUGCGUAGAUAUGUGGAGGAACACCAAUGGCGAAGGCAGCUCUCUGGCCUGAUACUGACGCUGAGGUGCGAAAGCGUGGGGAGCAAACAGGAUUAGAUACCCUAGUAGUC